GCGGACGUAGUUCAGCUGGUAGAACACAACCUUGCCAAGGUUGGGGUCGCGGGUUCGAGUCCCGUCGUCCGCUCCA
RNAcentral lists this transfer RNA (76 nucleotides) under Candidatus Carbonibacillus altaicus. RNAcentral's name for it is "tRNA-Gly". It matches the Rfam family "tRNA". From Rfam's summary of the family: Transfer RNA (tRNA) molecules are approximately 80 nucleotides in length. Their secondary structure includes four short double-helical elements and three loops (D, anti-codon, and T loops). The record is from RNAcentral. Lineage: Bacteria; Bacillati; Bacillota; Bacilli; Thermicanales; Thermicanaceae. RNAcentral also lists the same sequence under 1 other name.